This 2896-nucleotide ribosomal RNA is filed under the name Klebsiella pneumoniae. RNAcentral's name for it is "bacterial LSU rRNA". It matches the Rfam family "Bacterial large subunit ribosomal RNA". Lineage: Bacteria; Pseudomonadati; Pseudomonadota; Gammaproteobacteria; Enterobacterales; Enterobacteriaceae. The record is from RNAcentral.
UUAAGCGACUAAGCGUACACGGUGGAUGCCCUGGCAGUCAGAGGCGAUGAAGGACGUGCUAAUCUGCGAAAAGCGUCGGUAAGGUGAUAUGAACCGUUAUAACCGGCGAUGUCCGAAUGGGGAAACCCAGUGCAAUUCGUUGCACUAUCGUUAACUGAAUACAUAGGUUAACGAGGCGAACCGGGGGAACUGAAACAUCUAAGUACCCCGAGGAAAAGAAAUCAACCGAGAUUCCCCCAGUAGCGGCGAGCGAACGGGGAGCAGCCCAGAGUCUGAAUCAGCUUGUGUGUUAGUGGAACGGUCUGGAAAGUCCGACGGUACAGGGUGAUAGUCCCGUACACCAAAAUGCACAGGCUGUGAACUCGAAGAGUAGGGCGGGACACGUGGUAUCCUGUCUGAAUAUGGGGGGACCAUCCUCCAAGGCUAAAUACUCCUGACUGACCGAUAGUGAACCAGUACCGUGAGGGAAAGGCGAAAAGAACCCCGGCGAGGGGAGUGAAAAAGAACCUGAAACCGUGUACGUACAAGCAGUGGGAGCACCUUCGGGUGUGACUGCGUACCUUUUGUAUAAUGGGUCAGCGACUUAUAUUCUGUAGCAAGGUUAACCGUAUAGGGGAGCCGCAGGAAACCGAGUCUUAACUGGGCGUUAAGUUGCAGGGUAUAGACCCGAAACCCGGUGAUCAGCCAUGGGCAGGUUGAAGGUUGGGUAACACUAACUGGAGGACCGAACCGACUAAUGUUGAAAAAUUAGCGGAUGACUUGUGGCUGGGGGUGAAAGGCCAAUCAAACCGGGAGAUAGCUGGUUCUCCCCGAAAGCUAUUUAGGUAGCGCCUCGUGAAUUCAUCUUCGGGGGUAGAGCACUGUUUCGGCUAGGGGGUCAUCCCGACUUACCAACCCGAUGCAAACUACGAAUACCGAAGAAUGUUAUCACGGGAGACACACGGCGGGUGCUAACGUCCGUCGUGAAGAGGGAAACAACCCAGACCGCCAGCUAAGGUCCCAAAGUCAUGGUUAAGUGGGAAACGAUGUGGGAAGGCACAGACAGCCAGGAUGUUGGCUUAGAAGCAGCCAUCAUUUAAAGAAAGCGUAAUAGCUCACUGGUCGAGUCGGCCUGCGCGGAAGAUGUAACGGGCUAAACCAUGCACCGAAGCUGCGGCAGCGACACUAUGUGUUGUUGGGUAGGGGAGCGUUCUGUAAGCCUGCGAAGGUGACCUGUGAGGGUUGCUGGAGGUAUCAGAAGUGCGAAUGCUGACAUAAGUAACGAUAAAGCGGGUGAAAAGCCCGCUCGCCGGAAGACCAAGGGUUCCUGUCCAACGUUAAUCGGGGCAGGGUGAGUCGACCCCUAAGGCGAGGCCGAAAGGCGUAGUCGAUGGGAAACAGGUUAAUAUUCCUGUACUUGGUGUUACUGCGAAGGGGGGACGGAGAAGGCUAUGUUAGCCGGGCGACGGUUGUCCCGGUUUAAGCAUGUAGGCUGGUUAUCCAGGCAAAUCCGGAUAAUCAAGGCUGAGGUGUGAUGACGAGGCACUACGGUGCUGAAGUAACAAAUGCCCUGCUUCCAGGAAAAGCCUCUAAGCAUCAGGUAACAUCAAAUCGUACCCCAAACCGACACAGGUGGUCAGGUAGAGAAUACCAAGGCGCUUGAGAGAACUCGGGUGAAGGAACUAGGCAAAAUGGUGCCGUAACUUCGGGAGAAGGCACGCUGGUGUGUAGGUGAAGUCCCUGCGGAUGGAGCUGAGACCAGUCGAAGAUACCAGCUGGCUGCAACUGUUUAUUAAAAACACAGCACUGUGCAAACACGAAAGUGGACGUAUACGGUGUGACGCCUGCCCGGUGCCGGAAGGUUAAUUGAUGGGGUUAUCCGUAAGGAGAAGCUCUUGAUCGAAGCCCCGGUAAACGGCGGCCGUAACUAUAACGGUCCUAAGGUAGCGAAAUUCCUUGUCGGGUAAGUUCCGACCUGCACGAAUGGCGUAAUGAUGGCCAGGCUGUCUCCACCCGAGACUCAGUGAAAUUGAACUCGCUGUGAAGAUGCAGUGUACCCGCGGCAAGACGGAAAGACCCCGUGAACCUUUACUAUAGCUUGACACUGAACAUUGAGCCUUGAUGUGUAGGAUAGGUGGGAGGCUUUGAAGCGUGGACGCCAGUCUGCGUGGAGCCAACCUUGAAAUACCACCCUUUAAUGUUUGAUGUUCUAACGUUGGCCCCUUACCGGGGUUGCGGACAGUGUCUGGUGGGUAGUUUGACUGGGGCGGUCUCCUCCCAAAGCGUAACGGAGGAGCACGAAGGUUAGCUAAUCCUGGUCGGACAUCAGGAGGUUAGUGCAAUGGCAUAAGCUAGCUUGACUGCGAGCGUGACGGCGCGAGCAGGUGCGAAAGCAGGUCAUAGUGAUCCGGUGGUUCUGAAUGGAAGGGCCAUCGCUCAACGGAUAAAAGGUACUCCGGGGAUAACAGGCUGAUACCGCCCAAGAGUUCAUAUCGACGGCGGUGUUUGGCACCUCGAUGUCGGCUCAUCACAUCCUGGGGCUGAAGUAGGUCCCAAGGGUAUGGCUGUUCGCCAUUUAAAGUGGUACGCGAGCUGGGUUUAGAACGUCGUGAGACAGUUCGGUCCCUAUCUGCCGUGGGCGCUGGAGAAUUGAGGGGGGCUGCUCCUAGUACGAGAGGACCGGAGUGGACGCAUCACUGGUGUUCGGGUUGUCAUGCCAAUGGCACUGCCCGGUAGCUAAAUGCGGAAGAGAUAAGUGCUGAAAGCAUCUAAGCACGAAACUUGCCCCGAGAUGAGUUCUCCCUGAGACUUUAAGUCUCCUGAAGGAACGUUGAAGACGACGACGUUGAUAGGCCGGGUGUGUAAGCGCAGCGAUGCGUUGAGCUAACCGGUACUAAUGAACCGUGAGGCUUAACCU